RNAcentral lists this long non-coding RNA (707 nucleotides) under Rattus norvegicus (Norway rat). RNAcentral describes it as "long non-coding RNA NONRATT015775". The record is from RNAcentral. Lineage: Eukaryota; Metazoa; Chordata; Mammalia; Rodentia; Muridae.
AGCAGGCUCUCCCUGUAACUCACAAUCCAGCCUUCACUUUGGAAACCCUCCUGUUUAAGCCAACUGUUGGGGUUGCUGGAGUGCAGCAUUAUCCCCAGAGCACACUUAAACUUUCCAGCUGCUUGUUGGCAGAUAUGGUCUCCUCUCCAGAAGGAUUGUAGCUGAUCUAAUGAAGUGAAAAUGAGGCUGUGUGAGUGGACCCAAGGUCAAGUGAGUGGAUCCUAAUCCAGUAUGACUGGAGACUAUGAAGGGAAAAGAACACAGAAGAAAGGUCAUCUGAGGACUCAGCAAGAAGUCAGCCCCAGACUCAGAAGCUAGAAAGACUUGGAUCUUGACUUCAGGCUUCUAAGAACCAUGGGAGACAGAAGCAGUUUUCUUCAUGAAUGUCAGAGAUGAGUGGGUGCUGCCAUGGUGGACAACACAAAUGUCAUCUGGGAUGGCUGAACCUCUACCCCCUCAGCACAUCGGUGCAGAUGCCUUUGGCACAGCCCACAUCCACGGGGCUAUACACCAAGAAAAAAAACACAGAAAAUCUUGGAUCUCUUGGAUGCCCUGAUGAAGUCAGCAACUAUACUUUCUCUGGAUGGGUUGAGGCUUUCCCCACCAAGCAGGAAAUAGCUACUAUGGUAGCCAAGAAGAUAUUAGAAGAAAUCUUCCAGAGGUUUGGAGUGCCCAAGGACAACAGUCCUGCUUUUGUUUCUAAGGUA